UGUUUUUAACACUUUGUCACAUUUUAGAAUUGUGUGUUGAAUGGAGGAAGACCUCAAAACUUUCCUGAGAGGGAGAGGAGUAUCGGAGGAGAGCAUAAAUGCCAUGAAUCAUAAACAAGAUUGACGAGUCCGUUUUGACUUUACUUAAAGACGAACAGUUGGCAAAAUACCUGAGCUCCUUUGGAGACAGAGUGGCUGUUUUGGCUUUUUGCCACCAAACACAAACAACUGCAGCUGAAAAAGAGUCUCUCUUGCAAAUGGUGAGAGAAAAAUUAGACAAUAGAAGGAUAACAUCAACAUCAGGUCGAAGGCUGGGGGAAAGAAGAAAAGAGAAUUUUGUGCAAAGCAGUUCAAUGGCAAGACCCAGAAAUCAAAAUGGGGAGAAAACCAGCAGAAAGAUUGAAAGUGGAUGGCUCAAUUUCUGUAACGGUAGCUACCAACAAGUCAGGACUAGACAUGGUGGUGGCACCAGACAUGUCACAGCAGAAGAAGACUCUACAGUUGAACAGAUUUUAGCCAGGGGAAAGGAUCUCUUUUUCCCUAAUGGACUAUCAACUAAAGGGGAUGCUGCAGAUUUUACUUUUUCCAUUUGUGACUUAAAAAAACCCACCCUGCCUCUGGUUGACACUGUUGGUUACCUUUACGAACAAACUAAGUUAAAAAUGCUGCACUUUUACAUCUGCACUAAAAGUGCAGAGUUUUCCAGUGACGGUGGAUCUGAAAGUGAUGCAGCAAAGAGCAGCCCAGAUGUUAGAGAAACACUGGAAGAAGAGCCAAAAUGUGAUCAUGCCACUACUGAUGAGGUUUGUGUCUAAAUGUAGACACGGAAAUAAACACACAUACACUCUGAAAUCACAAAGGUUUUAUUGUUUUUUGCAGAAUCUACCAAUUCAACAACCAGCAUCAAAAAGAUCCAGAAGAUUGAGCCCUCUGCCCGAUUCAUCUGAAGUGCCCUCUGUAAAUAGAGCUGUUGGUGAUGAAGAGGAUACACUGUUAUGGGAUGGAGAAUAUGGAACAUUAGAAGAUGAUGAAGUUAUAAUAAUAAACUGGAAUUCAAACAAUACAGGUGAAACUGAGGUGUUGGUGCACACUGAUGUUGCUGUUCCAAACACCUCAUCUCAUGGGUAGCCUCUACUGUCGAAUGAAGCUCUCCAUGAAAUAAUGGAAACAAAUGUACAGCCAGUCACCAGUGAAAUAUUUCCAUCUGAUGAACCAGGCUCUGCAAAU
Molecule: RNA transcript, 1227 nt
Organism: Sphaeramia orbicularis (orbiculate cardinalfish)
Lineage: Eukaryota; Metazoa; Chordata; Actinopteri; Kurtiformes; Apogonidae
Exons: 4
Source: RefSeq, a predicted model, not a curated record